UACGUAGGUGGCAAGCGUUGUCUGGAUUUACUGGGCGUAAAGGGAGCGUAGGCGGAUGUUUAAGUGGGAUGUGAAAUACUCGGGCUCAACUUGAGUGCUGCAUUCCAAACUGGAUAUCUAGAGUGCAGGAGAGGAAAGGAGAAUUCCUAGUGUAGCGGUGAAAUGCGUAGAGAUUAGGAAGAAUACCAGUGGCGAAGGCGCCUUUCUGGACUGUAACUGACGCUGAGGCUCGAAAGCGUGGGGAGCAAACAGGAUUAGA
RNAcentral lists this ribosomal RNA (259 nucleotides) under uncultured prokaryote. RNAcentral's name for it is "partial 16S ribosomal RNA". It matches the Rfam family "Bacterial small subunit ribosomal RNA", at positions 524 to 782 of the family's 1533-position model. The record is from RNAcentral.